AAAAGCUCGUAGUUGGAUUUCUGGGAGGUGCCAAUGUCCGCCGAUGUGCGUGCGCAGCAGCGCCCUUCCAUCCUUCUGUUAACGCCUCUGGCAUUCAUUUGCUGGUGGCGGGCUCAGAUAUUUACCUUGAGAAAAUUAGAGUGUUUCAGGCAGGCUAGGCCGGAAUACAUUAGCAUGGAAUAAUGGAAUAGGACUACGGUCUCUUUGUUGGUUUGAGGGACUGCAGUAAUGAUUAAUAGGGAUAGUUGGGGGCAUUAGUAUUUAAUUGUCAGAGGUGGAAUUCUCGGAUUUGUUAAAGACUAACUUAUGCGAAAGCAUUUGCCAAGGAUGUUUUCAUUAAUCAAGAACGAAAGUUAGGGUAUCAAAGACGAUCAGUUACCGUCCUAGUCUUAACC
This 395-nucleotide ribosomal RNA is filed under the name uncultured marine eukaryote. Its description in RNAcentral is "SSU rRNA". It matches the Rfam family "Eukaryotic small subunit ribosomal RNA", at positions 622 to 1031 of the family's 1831-position model. The record is from RNAcentral.